AUUGAACGCUGGCGGCAUGCCUUACACAUGCAAGUCGAACGGUAACAGGCCUUCGGGUGCUGACGAGUGGCGAACGGGUGAGUAAUGCAUCGGAACGUGCCCAAUCGUGGGGGAUAACGUAGCGAAAGUUACGCUAAUACCGCAUAAGCCCUGAGGGGGAAAGCAGGGGAUCGCAAGACCUUGCGCGAAUGGAGCGGCCGAUGUCAGAUUAGCUAGUUGGUGGGGUAAAGGCCUACCAAGGCGACGAUCUGUAGCGGGUCUGAGAGGAUGAUCCGCCACACUGGGACUGAGACACGGCCCAGACUCCUACGGGAGGCAGCAGUGGGGAAUUUUGGACAAUGGGCGCAAGCCUGAUCCAGCCAUGCCGCGUGCGGGACGAAGGCCUUCGGUGUAACCGCUUCAGCCGGAAGAAUACGCCAAGGCUAAUAUACCUUGGUGGAUGACGGUACCGG
RNAcentral lists this ribosomal RNA (452 nucleotides) under uncultured bacterium. Its description in RNAcentral is "bacterial SSU rRNA". It matches the Rfam family "Bacterial small subunit ribosomal RNA", at positions 29 to 481 of the family's 1533-position model. The record is from RNAcentral.